RNAcentral lists this long non-coding RNA (427 nucleotides) under Setaria italica (foxtail millet). RNAcentral describes it as "long non-coding RNA (SITA_LNC005255)". The record is from RNAcentral. Lineage: Eukaryota; Viridiplantae; Streptophyta; Magnoliopsida; Poales; Poaceae.
CCAAAAGAAAAGAAAAAAAAAACUCGUUACAAUCUAGUAUUGCCUGCAGGAUCGUACUGCAACUCUGCUGUGACAUUGAUGGUCAAGAUUGUGCGUGAAUGCGCCGAGCAAAGACGAAAUCUUUGUCUCGUACUGCUGCAGUCCUUGGAUACGCAUAAUGAGAUGAAGCCCUGUACAGUCUACAGGACUACAGGCACAGUACAGUCACGGGCCGAGUGAAUGUCUACUGAGAGGCACCGCGAUACAUUACAGCGAGCUUUGUAAGGGCUGGGCUUUAACCCAUCCGGUACUGUUCGACCAAGACCAGGCAUUUAGAGGGACCAAGCUCACCAAAGGCAGCUUUUUUUUUUUCCUUGCCCUUUUUUCAAUGCGACUUUGCAUAAGAACUGAUGCUGGAAAGAGAGGAACAGGAGCUGCAAGGCUCACC